CCCAGCUGCGCGUUCCUGUUUCUGCACUUUCGUCCCUGGUUGAUAGUUGGCGCUGGGUCCUUGAUUGUCCUCCUGUAGAGUGGAUUUGGGGGGAUGGAGACUCCGCGCCUCACGGGAACUUCUGGAUCGUUUGUCUGGCCCCACUUGCAGCCGAACCGGAGAAAAGCCCCCGCGGCGGCCGUGGCAUGAGUGUCAUUCAAGGACGUGACUGUGGAUUUAACCCAGGAGUGGAAACACCUGGGCCCUGCUCAGAGUAUCCUGUACAGAGAUGUGAUACUGGAGAACUACAGCCACCUCCUCUCAGUGGAGUAUUGCUUUGGAAAACCAGAUGUGACCUUCAAUUUGGGGGAAGGAGAAGAUCCAUGGUUAUUAGAGGAAGAACGUCUAAAUAGGAACUACUCAGGUGAGUUACUGAGUACUAGAAGAAGGUAUCCAGGGAAAAGUAAAUCCAAAGUGAUCAGUUAUACGUAGGAAUUUUAAUUUUAAUUUUAUUUAUUUAUUGGCCAUGCCACAUGGCUUGCGAGAUCUUAGUUCCCCAACCAGGGAUCAAACCUGCACCCUUGGCAGUGAAAGCGUGGAGUCCUAACCCUGGACCACCAGGGAAUUCCCUAGGUGGGAAUUUUUAGAGACCUGUGUCUUUGGUAGUUUACAAAGAAUAGAUCCAGUACAAUGUGGAAAAUGAAGGUAUAACAUAACGAAUGCAGUACUAGCAUACUGAUUUUCUGAUCUUUAAAGGCUGGGAGUCCAAGUGUAUCAUUUACAACUGACAAACCAAGUUAUAGGAUUUUUAUUUAAUUGUAAAAUGAUAAACACUAAGAAAUAAUAGAAAAGGCACUAAAAUUGGGCAUUAAAUGAUGGUUAAGGAGAGAGAAGAAACACUGAUUUCAUCAUUGGUUCCAUAAUAUGGAAUUACUAGUUACUGUCUAAGUAAGUAGAAGAUUAAAAACUACACAAGUUUAUAAUUAUAAAAGUACCUACUAGAGCAAAAACACAGUCUUCCUAAUUUUUAGAAGAAAAAUUAACAGAGCCAUGAAAACAGAACUAUUAACUAAAAAGACUUAUUUUUUUUUUUUGC
Molecule: long non-coding RNA, 1075 nt
Filed under: Monodon monoceros (narwhal)
Lineage: Eukaryota; Metazoa; Chordata; Mammalia; Artiodactyla; Monodontidae
Description: lncRNA (ENSMMNG00015014034.1)
Source: RNAcentral